This 25-nucleotide non-coding RNA is filed under the name Cricetulus griseus (Chinese hamster). Lineage: Eukaryota; Metazoa; Chordata; Mammalia; Rodentia; Cricetidae. The record is from RNAcentral.
GCUUCAUCAAAGACUGUGAGAUAGG